AAGAUUUUAAGUUAAAUUAUAAACUAUUAACCUUCAAAGUUAAAAUUACCUAAUCUUUGUAAAUCUUA
This 68-nucleotide transfer RNA is filed under the name Mileewa ponta. RNAcentral describes it as "tRNA-Trp". Lineage: Eukaryota; Metazoa; Arthropoda; Insecta; Hemiptera; Cicadellidae. The record is from RNAcentral.